AUAAGCGGAGGAAAAGAAACCAACAGGGAUUCCUUAGUAGCGGCGAGUGAAGCGCCAAAAGCUCAAAUUUGAAAUCUGCCACUUUCAGUGUCCGAGUUGUAAUUUGAAGAAGGUAUCUUGGGGUCUGGCUCUGGUCUAUGUUUCUUGGAACAGAACGUCACAGAGGGUGAGAAUCCCGUGCGAUGAGAUGACCCAGACCUAUGUAAAGUUCCUUCGAAGAGUCGAGUUGUUUGGGAAUGCAGCUCUAAGUGGGUGGUAAAUUCCAUCUAAAGCUAAAUAUUGGCGAGAGACCGAUAGCGAACAAGUACAGUGAUGGAAAGAUGAAAAGAACUUUGAAAAGAGAGUGAAAAAGUACGUGAAAUUGUUGAAAGGGAAGGGCUUGAGAUCAGACUUGGUAUUUUGUAUGUUACUCUUUCGGGGGUGGCCUCUACAGUUUACCGGGCCAGCAUCAGUUUGGGCGGUAGGAGAAUUGCAAAGAAAUGUGGCACUGCUUCGGUAGUGUGUUAUAGUCUUUGUCGAUACUGCCAGCCUAGACUGAGGACUGCGGCUUCGGCCUAGGAUGUUGGCAUAAUGAUCUGA
Molecule: ribosomal RNA, 579 nt
Filed under: Lodderomyces parapsilosis
Lineage: Eukaryota; Fungi; Ascomycota; Pichiomycetes; Serinales; Debaryomycetaceae
Description: eukaryotic LSU rRNA
Rfam family: Eukaryotic large subunit ribosomal RNA
Source: RNAcentral